AUUGAACGCUGGCGGCAUGCUUUACACAUGCAAGUCGAACGGCAGCGCGGGCUUCGUCCUGGCGGCGAGUGGCGAACGGGUGAGUAAUGCAUCGGAACGUGCCCAGCAGUGGGGGAUAGCCCGGCGAAAGCCGGAUUAAUACCGCAUACGACCUGAGGGUGAAAGCGGGGGACCGAAAGGCCUCGCGCUAUUGGAGCGGCCGAUGUCGGAUUAGCUAGUUGGUGGGGUAAAGGCUUACCAAGGCGACGAUCCGUAGCUGGUCUGAGAGGACGACCAGCCACACUGGGACUGAGACACGGCCCAGACUCCUACGGGAGGCAGCAGUGGGGAAUUUUGGACAAUGGGGGCAACCCUGAUCCAGCCAUGCCGCGUGCGGGAAGAAGGCCUUCGGGUUGUAAACCGCUUUUGUUCGGGAAGAAAUCCUCUGGGCUAAUACCCCGGGGGGAUGACGGUACCGGAAGAAUAAGCACCGGCUAACUACGUG
This 484-nucleotide ribosomal RNA is filed under the name uncultured bacterium. RNAcentral describes it as "partial 16S ribosomal RNA". It matches the Rfam family "Bacterial small subunit ribosomal RNA", at positions 28 to 507 of the family's 1533-position model. The record is from RNAcentral.